This 440-nucleotide ribosomal RNA is filed under the name uncultured bacterium. RNAcentral's name for it is "partial 16S ribosomal RNA". It matches the Rfam family "Bacterial small subunit ribosomal RNA", at positions 338 to 795 of the family's 1533-position model. The record is from RNAcentral.
CCUACGGGGGGCAGCAGUGGGGGAUAUUGCACAAUGGGGGGAACCCUGAUGCAGCGACGCCGCGUGUGGGAAGACGGUCCUCUGGAUUGUAAACCACUGUCCCCAGGGACGAAAAUGACGGUACCUGGGGAGGAAGCUCCGGCUAACGACGUGCCAGCAGCCGCGGUAAUACGUAGGGAGCGAGCGUUGUCCGGAAUUACGGGGUGUAAAGGGAGCGUAGGCGGGGAUGCAAGUUGGGUGUCAAAACUACCGGCUCAACUGGUAGUCGCACUCAAAACUGCAGCGCUUGAGUGAAGUAGAGGUAGGCGGAAUUCCUGGUGUAGCGGUGAAAUGCGUAGAUAUUAGGAGGAACACCAGUGGCGAAGGCGGCCUGCUGGGCUUUUACUGACGCUGAGGCUCGAAAGUGUGGGGAGCAAACAGGAUUAGAUACCCUAGUAAUC